This is a long non-coding RNA of Piliocolobus tephrosceles (Ugandan red Colobus), 5701 nucleotides long. The record is from Ensembl. Lineage: Eukaryota; Metazoa; Chordata; Mammalia; Primates; Cercopithecidae.
GAUUAAUUAUGAAGAUAUGCAUAUAUUAACAUGUCAUAAAUAGUAAUAACAAUUUUAAAAGAACAAUUAAGUAUUUAAUUAAAAAGUAACACAUUAGGUAGUGUAUAUUUGUGUAUGUAUAUGUGUGUGCAUUUAUAUACAUAUAUAUAUAUAUAUAUAUAUGUAUACAUACAUGUUUAUAUACAUGACUAUGUAUAUUUUUUUUAAAAAUAUAAUAAUGAAAAAAAUGAAAUAAGUAAUAAUAUGGAUUAUGUUAAAAAAUUUGGAAAAACACUAGGUCUUAAUGAAGUAAAAAUUUUUAAUUAUAAAAAGGAUGACAGUUUAGAUGUAAAUAAUAUUUCAGAAGAAUUUCAAAAAGAAAAAGAAUGUACAUAUGAAAUGAAUAAUGGUGAUGAUAAUAAUAAUAAUAAUAAUAAUAAUAAGAACGUUGACACAUUUUCUGUUGAAACUACGUGUGAAAAAAACUGUGAGUUACAUAAAGAUGACAAGGAAUAUGAAAUUUUUAAUGAUGAUACAUACAAUGUAAAUAAUAUAAACGUGUUUUUUGAAAAAACAAAAAAUAAAGAAAACGAAGAUGUAUCUUUAAGUAGUGAUACGAGUGAAACAUGUUAUAAAUCAAACGAAAGUUGUAUUGAUAAUGAUGUUGAUAUUUCAUUUAAUAAUUUAAAUAGUUUAAUUAAAGAAAAUGAAGAGUCGAAAAUUUUGGAGGAAAAAAAUGAACUUUUUUCUAGUGUAUCAAGCGAUAAUUGCUUAGAUUCAAAAAGAAAUGAGUUCAUGUCUCUUAAUUCGAGUGAAAAUGAUUUUGUAGGUUUUAAUUAUACAUCCAAUUCGUUUUCUUUUGAAGAUGGCAAAACGGAUACUCUUAAAGGUUUAUCCAGCGUAAAUAGGACUAUGUCACAUGAUACUCUCGCAACCGCUCUUACUACAUCUGUUACUUAUACUAGUGGUAAGAAUGCUGACACUAAUAGAAGAUACAAUGAUAAUAAUAAUAAUAAUAAUAAUGACAUUAGUUAUGAUGGUAGUAUGCAGUUUGAGUAUGAUUCUUAUCAUGAUGAAAGUAGUAAUAAUGACAAUGGCAAUAAUGACAAUAGAAAGCAUAAUAAGAAAGAAAAAAAACACCAAGAAAAAGACUGCUUGGAUAGUGAAGACGAUAAAGAAAUAACAAAUAUAUUAUCAGUUCUUGAAAACUUAAGAGAGUACAAAACGGAUUAUUCUAAUUCGUUUUAUAAUGAUAUGACUUAUGAAAAAUAUGAAGAAAAUGAAUAUAUAUUAAAUGAGUCCGCAUUUGAGCCUGGUUCUGCUGCUCAAGUGGACGAACAAGAUGCCCCAAAUAGACUAACAGAAAAAGAAAACGAAGAAGACAAAGAAGAGACUAAAGAUUCCGUAAAAAAAAAAAAAAAUUUCAUUUAUGAUAAGAAUAUACCCUUUUUAAAUAACGAUUACACUUUUAAUAGCAAGCAUGUAAAUAUUGAUAAAGAAGGUGAUUUAGAUAUUCAAAAAAUAAAAGAUAAAUACAAAAAAUAUACAGUUUCUGCUAUUAUUAACAGCGGAAGUGACAGCGGAAGUGACAGCGGAGGUAACAGCGGAAGUGACAGUGGAAGUGACAGCGGAGGUAACAACGGAAGUGACAUAUACCAAAAAUAUGAAGAUGCAAAUAUAACCGAACAAAUGGGUGAUAAUGUAGGUUUUGAUACAGAAAUAAAAUAUAAUAACGCAAAUAAAAAGGAAACGUCACAUAAAUAUAAUAAUAACACAAAUGAUACAGAAAUAUAUGAAGAUGAUAAGGACGUGUCAAUUAAACAAACAAUGUUAAGUAAUGAUGUUGAUGGUGUUAUAAAUAAUAAUGAAUAUACUUUUACCACAAAUUUGAUCAAACAAAAUAACAUCGUCGAUAUUUAUGACGACGAUAAAGAUAAAUCUAAUAAACACUCACCUAUCGAAUAUAAACACGUUUUAAAUUUAGAGAAUAAUGUACGAAACGGUUGUAACGAAAAUGAAGGUGGUAAUGUUGUUCAAUAUAAUCAAACUGUUUGUACUAACAAUAAUAAUAAUGAUUUUAGUUAUGUUAGUUCUAAUCAUAAUGAUGGAGACAAGAUCGAUAAUAAUUGUAACAUUUUUAGUAGUACUAACUAUGAUGAUUUAGCAAACAAAAUUGAUAACAAAAUAAAAAACGUAGAAUAUGUAGAAGAUACUAACAACAAUGAUGUUACUAAAUCUGAUAAAUUUAAUGAAGAGCAAAAUGAGACUGGAGGUAUCGGAACAAGUAGAAGUACAUGUACAAGCACUGACAUAGGGAACAACACCAACGAUGAUAUUAAAAAAAAAGGAGACUCAACUAAUAAUGACAAACAGAUGAUAAAUAACUGUGAACAUAUAAGAAAAAAAAAUUUACUGAAGGAAAAUAUGAAUAGCUUAAAUAAUAAAGAAAAAGAUAUUAACAAGUCAUAUAUAAAUGUAAAUGGUUUAACUUUUGAAAUCCCAAAAAAUGAAUGUCCAUAUGGUGGUAUGGAUAAUAAUAAAAGUGGUAGUAACAGUAACAACAACAUUAGUGGUAAUAAUAGCAGCAUUAGUGGUAAUAAUAGCAGCAUUAGUGGUAAUAAUAGAAACAGUAAUAUAUUAUUGCAACAAAAUUAUGAUAUACCACAGGACAUAAAAAACUUCAACAACAUAGUAAACACGUGUAUAGAAGAAACACAAUUUGAUUUUUCUAAAUAUUUGAAUGAUUUAAAAAAAUUAAAACAGGUACUAUAUGAAGAAAUUAGUGGCGGUGAUAAAAUGAGUGACAGUGCAGAGUGCUGUGAUGCUAGUAAAUCCGAUAGUAAAAUAUCUGGGAGUAGUUUGAAUGAAAAAAAUGUCAUAGCAGAAGAUAAAAAAAAUGUGCAUACAUCAAUAUGUACUAAAGAUGAUAAAAAAAACAGUAUUGACAAUGUCUAUAAAAAUAAAGAUAAAAAUUAUACAAGUAUAAGGAAGGAGGCAAAAAAGGAGACAAAAAAGGAGACAAAAAAGGAGGGAAAAAAAAAGGAAAACAUAAACGAUGGAAAAGAGAUAAACAUAGAAGGUAACAAUAUAUCCAGUGAUAGUACACGUGCUUGCGCUUUGACUACUAUGAACGUAACAAAUGAUGCUGUUGAAGAAGUAACUGCACAAAACAACUUAUUAAAAACGAAAUUAAAAAGUUUAAAAAAAAAAAUUGUAAAUUAUAAAAAUAUAGAAAAAAAAUAUAAUCAAAAUAAAGAAAAAUAUAAAAAUAAUUUAGUAACUAUUUGUGAGUAUGAAAAAAAAAUCGAUUACAUUAUAAAUGAUUUUAAUAAAUUAAAAGAAAUUGUUACAAGUAAAGAUAAAAAAAUUACAAAAUAUGAAGAGAUAACAAAAUAUAUAAAUGAACAAUUUAAUAUUAGUAAAAUACAAUUUGAAAAUAAAAUGAAUGAGUAUGUUGUGUUUUUAAAAAAAAAAGAUUCCGAGAUAUAUAUGUUGAAAGAAUUAAUUAAAGAAAAAGAAAAGAUAAUUUGUUUCAAUGAAAACAUAUUAAAACAGUAUAAAACUGAUAUAGAUGACACGUUGAAGCAACACGUAGAACGAGUAGAGCAAAUAAAAAAAAAACUAAGUACACAACAAGGUAUAUUAUUAGAAAAAGACGCCAAAAUUAAUCAAUUAGAAGAAACCAUUCAAAACGAUAAUAAAAAAAUGACAAAAAUAGAAAACGAAAUAAAAAAAUUACAAUAUGACCUUGAAUUAGAGAUAGAAAAAAAAAAAGAAUUAAAAAAAAAUUAUGAAAAAGAAAAAGAUAAAAAUCAAAAACUGAGUACUAAAUUAGAAGAAAUUAAAAAAGAAAAAAAUGAUAUACAACAUAAAGUAGAAAAUCUAUUACAAAAUGAAAAAAUAAUUGUUAAUGAUAAAGAUGUGUUACUUGAAUGUAAGCAGACACUUAGUACAGAAAAUGAAAAUAUGAAAAAUAAAAUUGCUGCUUUAUUAAAUGAAAAGGAUGAAAUCGCAAAAAAUUGUGAGUUCAUCAACUCAGAGCAAAAUAAAAUAAAAGAAAAACUACAUUUUAUUGAAAAACAAAAUGAAGAAUAUAUAAAUGAAAUAAAUCAAUUACAAAAUGAAGUAACUAGUUUGGAAAAGCAAAAUAGCGAACUGAAUGAAAAAAAUAAAACGAAUGAAACAAAAUAUAUGAACGAACUGGAAAAAAAUACACACAUAGAAAAACUGUUAGAAGACACAAAAAAAGAAAAUUUAUUACACAUGAAUCAAAAAGAGUCAAUACAAAAUGAACUGGACGAGUUACAAAAAUGGAAGGAACAAGAGAUGAUAGAAAAAAAAGAAAAAAUAAAAAGUGCAAACGAAGAUAUAAAAGAGUUAGAAGAAAAAUUAACUGAAGCAAAUAAAUUAUAUUCAAAAGAAAAAGAAAUGAUUGAAAAUUUAACGAAAGAAAAAAAACAAUUUAUUAAAGAAUGUAAAAAAUUGAAAAAUAAAAAUAAAAAAAUCGGUUUUCAGUUAAAAGAAGAACAAAAUAAUUACAAAAAAAAUAUAAACAAUAUUAUAAAAGAAAAAGAACAAGUGUUAGAAAAAGAAAAAUUAAAUUUUGAAAAAAAAAUACAAUCGUUAGAAGUAGCAUUUCAACAAUCUUAUAGUAAAACAUAUGAAGAAAAAAAUAAUUUGAAACUUGAGUUAAGCGAAUUAAAAAAAAUCAAUGAAGAUAUAAAAAAAAAUUCAAAAAAUCUUUUAAAUGUUAAUCAAAUGUUAGUCAACGAAAUUCAAUUAUACAACACACAAAAAAAAAAUUUUAUUAAAGGAUUAAAAGAUAUUAAACAAGCAUACUUAAAGAUAAAAGAUGAAAAUAAACAGCUGAAAAACAAUGCAUUCGAAUUUAUGAAAAAAGAGGUACAAGAAAAUUAUGUUUCUAUUAUUGUUCAUAAUAAUUUAUUAGAUGAAAAAAAUACGUGGAUCAAAGAAAAAACAAUACUUAUGACAAAAUCGAAAGAAAACGAACUAGCUAUCACAAAUUUAAAUAAAGAAAAAAUACAACUACAAGAACAAAUAAGCCAAAUCACUAAACAAAAUGAAGAGCUAAAUACGAAUAUAAAGGUGAAUAGUAAAAUUACGGAGGAUUUUACGCUUAACGUGGAGAAGCUAAAAACAGACUUGCAAUCUAAAGAAGAAGAUAUAAAAAAAAAAAAUUCAGAAAUAAAAAAAAUAGAAAGAGAAUACAACAAGUUACUAGAUGAUUAUAAAACAGAAAAAAAAAAUUUAGUUUCAAAAUAUGAAAAUGAAUUGGAUGGAUAUAUGAAUAAGUGUGAAUUAUCGCAUGCUAAGUAUAAAAAGGGAGAAGAAGAAGUAAUAAAAUAAUUUUUGUUUAAAAAUGGGUGCACAUACAUGUUUAUAUAUAUGUCUGAGUGUGUGAGCAUUUCUACUAACUUAUACGUUAAUAGCAGAACACGCUGUUUUUUUUUUUUUUUUUUUUUACACAUACAUACAUACAUGUAAUAUUUUUUAACAUAUAAUAAUUACAUAUUUGCUUUUACCAAAAUUUAAACGCAGAUUAAAGAGUUGAAAAACAAGUUGAGAAUGAAAGAUGAAGUUAUAGAAUAUACCAACAGAGAGAUAGAAAGUAUUAAGGAAUCGUUCUGGUACACACAUUCAUAUAAUUAUGUGUUAAAAAAAAAAAAAUAAAAUAAGCUAUACGUAUUUAAUUUAAUGCGCG